This 1055-nucleotide long non-coding RNA is filed under the name Fukomys damarensis (Damara mole-rat). RNAcentral describes it as "lncRNA (ENSFDAG00000029382.1)". The record is from RNAcentral. Lineage: Eukaryota; Metazoa; Chordata; Mammalia; Rodentia; Bathyergidae.
GGAGGAAGUGAAGUGGAGACUCUGUCCUUUUACCAUUUUUCCUUCUUCUUUUUGGUACCAGGGAUCAAACUGAGGACCUCGUGCUCGCCAGGUGGGCGCUGUGCCACUGAGCUGCACCCCGGCCCUCGUCUGUCCUUUUAGAUGGGGUAGACUUAGUCUGUUCCCAGGCUGAUGUGACUGUGUGGGCAUGGUGAGGACCGAGCACAGGAUGCGGGAGCUGGAACUGCUGAGUGGUGACGGUGGCUCGGUCCCCGGAGGGCUCGCUCAGGUCAGAGGCGACGUGGAGGCUGGGAGGGUACCUGUGGGUUGGAGUCUCCAAGAUGGCACUUGAAAGAAUGAAGAAAAUAAUUCCUUUGGAAAGUACCUGUUGAAAAAAAAAGUAUCCAAAGACCUCUGGGUUGCAGUUCUCCCGUGUCAAGUGUGAAACAGGCCUACAUUAAUUUCUCUUAGAAAUUUCAAAAAACAGUCUUCAAAAACAGAGUGGGAAAACAGAGCAACAGAAAGGGAGGAAAUCUUGACUGUGAGGUUCUCAUGCGACAUCGCCUCAGCUUUUGGUGUGUUCAGCCCCACUGUAGGAGGCUGGACUCAGGCCGCAGCGUGGGCUUCCCACAUCCAGUUCUCUGACCACCCUUCCUGGGUGGGACCCCUCAGCCUCAGUGGGUUUGAUUUCAUGAAACCGAACAGCAGCCAUAUGACUUGACUUCCUAUCCAGGAAUUCUGAGAAGCUGAAGGUACCAGCCAAGAACGCAUAAGUUUCUUGGAAGGAAUUUACACUAGCAUUAUCUCCUGAGACAUUGCAGCAGAUGUCGCCAAGCACUCACUCCCACUACUCCCUGUAAAAUGUAUCAAAUGUUCGUGUAAAAUAUGACAAUAUGAAAAACGCAUCCAAUGGGAGGGGGCUGACAUUGGUGUCCUUGCUCCCAGAACCUCAAGUCUCAGCUGGGGCAGAGGCCGAGGGAGGCUCAGUAACACUCCUUGUCCUCAGUAUGAGGAAGGACUCCUACAGAUGGGCCUGUGCCAGCCACUGAAAUGUUUCCAGGGGCCUCAGUUUCCAC